GGAGACGUGGCCGAGCGGUCGAAGGCACUCCCCUGCUAAGGGAGCAUUCUGUCAAAAACGGAAUCCAGGGUUCGAAUCCCUGCGUCUCCGCCA
Molecule: transfer RNA, 93 nt
Filed under: Zoogloea sp.
Lineage: Bacteria; Pseudomonadati; Pseudomonadota; Betaproteobacteria; Rhodocyclales; Zoogloeaceae
Also listed under: 2 other names
Description: tRNA-Ser
Rfam family: tRNA
About the family: Transfer RNA (tRNA) molecules are approximately 80 nucleotides in length. Their secondary structure includes four short double-helical elements and three loops (D, anti-codon, and T loops). Further hydrogen bonds mediate the characteristic L-shaped molecular structure. tRNAs have two regions of fundamental functional importance: the anti-codon, which is responsible for specific mRNA codon recognition, and the 3' end, to which the tRNAs corresponding amino acid is attached (by aminoacyl-tRNA synthetases). tRNAs cope with the degeneracy of the genetic code in two manners: having more than one tRNA (with a specific anti-codon) for a particular amino acid; and 'wobble' base-pairing, i.e. permitting non-standard base-pairing at the 3rd anti-codon position.
Source: RNAcentral